Caenorhabditis elegans is the source of this 192-nucleotide non-coding RNA. NCBI's taxonomy places the organism in Eukaryota, Metazoa, Nematoda, Chromadorea, Rhabditida, Rhabditidae. The record is from Ensembl.
CGUUUUCGGCAAGCAAACACGGGGACGACUGGCGGCCGGUGUUAUCCUUUUAGUCCUCUCCUCUCACCUCAACAACAGCUCAUAAGAGAGAGGUUGGAGAGAUAGAAAAAACUGUAAACGCGUGCUUCUUUUUGCUUUUCUUACUUUUCAUUUUAGUGACGUGUCAAUUGGGCUCUCAGAACACUCUUCAUA